UCCCUCUUAGCUCAGUGGUAGAGCGUGUCACUCGUAAUGAUUGUGAUAUGAUGACAAGGUCAGUCGUUCAAUCCGGCUAGCGGGAA
Molecule: non-coding RNA, 86 nt
Organism: Armillaria borealis
Lineage: Eukaryota; Fungi; Basidiomycota; Agaricomycetes; Agaricales; Physalacriaceae
Source: the annotation of a GenBank genome assembly